GAUGAAGAACGUAGCGAAAUGCGAUACUUGGUGUGAAUUGCAGAAUCCCGUGAACCAUCGAGUCUUUGAACGCAAGUUGCGCCCGAAGCCACUAGGCCGAGGGCACGCCUGCCUGGGCGUCACACGUCGUUGCCCCCCCCCCAUCUACUCCUUCGGGAUUGCGGGGGGCGGAUGAUGGCCUCCCGUGCGCCUAGCCGCGCGGUUGGCAUAAAUACCAAGUCCUCGGCGACGCAUGCCACGACAAUCGGUGGUUGCGAAACCUCGGUUGCCCGUCGUGUGCGUUCGUCGCGCAUCGAGGGCUCGAAAAAAUGCUCGGCUCCGGCUCGGCUUUCAACGCGACCCCAGGUCAGGCGGGGUUACCCGCUGAACUUAAGCAUAUCAAUAAGCGGAGGA
Molecule: unclassified non-coding RNA, 393 nt
Filed under: soil metagenome
Description: partial contains 5.8S ribosomal RNA, internal transcribed spacer 2, and large subunit ribosomal RNA
Rfam family: 5.8S ribosomal RNA (bases 1-122)
Source: RNAcentral